This 237-nucleotide non-coding RNA is filed under the name Pseudoxanthomonas indica. Lineage: Bacteria; Pseudomonadati; Pseudomonadota; Gammaproteobacteria; Lysobacterales; Lysobacteraceae. The record is from RNAcentral.
AUCUUCCCCUCCGUCGAAGGUAUCCAUCUCUUCAACCCGAUGAAGCGAUGGAUUUAAUAGGGAAGCCGGUGCGGACCUUCCAGGUCCUAUUCCGGCGCUGCCCCGCAGCGGUAUUUGGAAACGAACUCCGUCAUCAGCACUGGCCCGCAAGGCCGGGAAGCGACGGACAGUAGGCCGCCACGCAUCCGCGUGGACCCGUCCAUGAGCCCGAAGACCUGCCUCGGCCGGAAGACCCGC